CCUACGGGAGGCUGCAGUGGGGAAUAUUGGACAAUGGGCGAAAGCCUGAUCCAGCCAUGCCGCGUGUGUGAAGAAGGCCUUCGGGUUGUAAAGCACUUUCAGUGGGGAAGAAAGCCUUGGGGCUAAUACCCUCGAGGAAGGACAUCACCCACAGAAGAAGCCCCGGCUAACUCCGUGCCAGCAGCCGCGGUAAUACGGAGGGUGCGCGCGUUAAUCGGAAUUACUGGGCGUAAAGCGCGCGUAGGCGGUCUGAUAAGCCGGUUGUGAAAGCCCCGGGCUCAACCUGGGAACGGCAUCCGGAACUGUCAGGCUAGAGUGCAGGAGAGGAAGGUAGAAUUCCCGGUGUAGCGGUGAAAUGCGUAGAGAGCGGGAGGAAUACCAGUGGCGAAGGCGGCCUUCUGGACUGACACUGACGCUGAGGUGCGAAAGCGUGGGUAGCAAACAGGAUUAGAUACCCGGGUAGUC
This 465-nucleotide ribosomal RNA is filed under the name Vreelandella stevensii. RNAcentral's name for it is "partial 16S ribosomal RNA". It matches the Rfam family "Bacterial small subunit ribosomal RNA", at positions 338 to 795 of the family's 1533-position model. Lineage: Bacteria; Pseudomonadati; Pseudomonadota; Gammaproteobacteria; Oceanospirillales; Halomonadaceae. The record is from RNAcentral.